UACGUAGGGUGCGAGCGUUGUCCGGAAUUAUUGGGCGUAAAGAGCUCGUAGGCGGUUUGUCGCGUCGACUGUGAGAACCCGAGGCUUAACCUCGGGCCUGCAGUCGAUACGGGCAGACUAGAGUUCGGUAGGGGAGACUGGAAUUCCUGGUGUAGCGGUGAAAUGCGCAGAUAUCAGGAGGAACACCGGUGGCGAAGGCGGGUCUCUGGGCAGUAACUGACGCUGAGGAGCGAAAGCGUGGGGAGCGAACAGG
Molecule: ribosomal RNA, 253 nt
Filed under: uncultured bacterium
Lineage: Bacteria
Description: partial 16S ribosomal RNA
Rfam family: Bacterial small subunit ribosomal RNA
Source: RNAcentral